GACCUGCGGAGGAUCAUUAUCGUAGGGCUUCGGCCCUGUCGAGAUAGAACCCUUGCCUUUUCGAGUACCUUUCGUUUCCUCGGCAGCCUCGGCUGCCAAUGGGGACCCCAAAAAACACUUUGCAGUACCUGUAACAGUCUGAACAAACAAACAAAAAUUAAAACUUUCAACAACGGAUCUCUUGGUUCUGGCAUCGAUGAAGAACGCAGCGAAAUGCGAUAAGUAGUGUGAAUUGCAGAAUUCAGUGAAUCAUCGAAUCUUUGAACGCACAUUGCGCCCUUUGGUAUUCCUUAGGGCAUGCCUGUUCGAGCGUCAUUUAAACCUUCAAGCUCAGCUUGGUGUUGGGUGACUGUCCGCCGCCUCCGGGCGCGUGGACUCGCCUCAAAAUUAUUGGCGGCCGGUACAUUGGCUUCGAGCGCAGCAGAAACGCGAACUCGGGCCCGUCGUAUUGGCUCCCAGAAGCUAUCUUCACAAUUUUGACCUCGGAUCAGGUAGGGAUACCCGCUGAACUUAAGCAUAUCAAUAAGCGGAGGA
This 534-nucleotide ribosomal RNA is filed under the name uncultured Pleosporales. Its description in RNAcentral is "eukaryotic LSU rRNA". The stretch from base 162 to 315 matches the Rfam family "5.8S ribosomal RNA". Lineage: Eukaryota; Fungi; Ascomycota; Dothideomycetes; Pleosporales. The record is from RNAcentral.